Molecule: ribosomal RNA, 721 nt
Filed under: uncultured archaeon
Lineage: Archaea
Description: bacterial SSU rRNA
Rfam family: Archaeal small subunit ribosomal RNA
Source: RNAcentral
AGCCAUGCGAGUCAUUGUAGCAAUACAAGGCAGACGGCUCAGUAACGCGUAGUCAAUCUACCCUAUGGACGGGAAUAACCUCGGGAAACUGAGAAUAAUACCCGACAGAACAUUAUACCUGGAACGGUUUAUGUUUCAAAUGAUUUAUCGCCGUAGGAUGGGACUGCGGCCUAUCAGUUUGUUGGUGAGGUAAUGGCCCACCAAGACUAUUACAGGUACGGGCUCUGAGAGGAGUAGCCCGGAGAUGGGUACUGAGACACGGACCCAGGCCCUAUGGGGCGCAGCAGGCGAGAAAACUUUGCAAUGUGCGAAAGCACGACAAGGUUAAUCCGAGUGGUUUCUGCUAAAGAAACCUUUUGCUAGUCCUAGAAACACUAGUGAAUAAGGGGUGGGCAAGUUCUGGUGUCAGCCGCCGCGGUAAAACCAGCACCUCAAGUGGUCAGGAUGAUUAUUGGGCCUAAAGCAUCCGUAGCUCGUUUUGUAAGUUUUCGGUUAAAUCCAUACGCUUAACGUAUGGGCUGCCGGGAAUACUGCAUAACUAGGAAGUGGGAGAGGUAGACGGUACUCGGUAGGAAGGGGUAAAAUCCUUUGAUCUAUUGAUGACCACCUGUGGCGAAGGCGGUCUACCAGAACACGUUCGACGGUGAGGGAUGAAAGCUGGGGGAGCAAACCGGAUUAGAUACCCGGGUAGUCCCAGCUGUAAACUAUGCAAACUCAGUGA